RNAcentral lists this ribosomal RNA (467 nucleotides) under uncultured bacterium. RNAcentral describes it as "partial 16S ribosomal RNA". It matches the Rfam family "Bacterial small subunit ribosomal RNA", at positions 29 to 507 of the family's 1533-position model. The record is from RNAcentral.
ACGAACGCUGGCGGCGUGCUUAACACCUGCAAGUCGAACGGAAAGGCCCUGCUUUUGUGGGGUGCUCGAGUGGCGAACGGGUGAGUAACACGUGAGUAACCUGCCCUUGACUCUGGGAUAACUUCAGGAAACUGGGGCUAAUACCGGAUAGGAGCUCCUGCUGCAUGGUGGGGGUUGGAAAGUUUCGGCGGUUGGGGAUGGACUCGCGGCUUAUCAGCUUGUUGGUGGGGUAGUGGCUUACCAAGGCUUUGACGGGUAGCCGGCCUGAGAGGGUGACCGGCCACAUUGGGACUGAGAUACGGCCCAGACUCCUACGGGAGGCAGCAGUGGGGAAUAUUGCACAAUGGGCGGAAGCCUGAUGCAGCAACGCCGCGUGCGGGAUGACGGCCUUCGGGUUGUAAACCGCUUUCGCCUGUGACGAAGCGUGAGUGACGGUAAUGGGUAAAGAAGCACCGGCUAACUACGUG